GGGGGGCGCGGCCGGCUCCGGGGCGUCGCGGGCUGAUGACGCAGGGCGCGGCCGGGCAGCAUGGCGUCCGUGUCGCUGAGCGAGGCGGAGAAGGUGUACAUCGUGCACGGCGUGCAGGAGGACCUCCGCGUGGAUGGCCGGGGCUGCGAGGACUACCGCGGCGUCGAAGUGGAGACGGACGUCGUGUCCAACACCAGUGGCUCCGCCAGGGUCAGGCUGGGCCACACGGACAUCUUGGUGGGAGUGAAGGCAGAAAUGGGGACGCCGAAGCUGGAGAAGCCGAACGAAGGUUACCUGGAGUUCUUUGUUGACUGCUCGGCCAACGCUACCCCUGAAUUUGAAGGUCGAGGAGGCGAUGACCUCGGCACGGAGAUCGCCAACACCCUCUACCGGAUAUUCCACAACAAGAGCAGCGUCGACCUGGAGGCGCUCUGCAUCAGCCCGCGGGAGCACUGCUGGGUGCUCUACGUGGACGUGCUGCUGCUGGAGUGUGGCGGGAACCUGUUCGAUGCCAUCUCCAUCGCCGUGAAGGCCGCCCUCUUCAACACGAGGAUCCCAAGAGUCCGUGUUCUGGAGGACGAAGAGGGGUCAAAGGACAUUGAACUCUCUGACGACCCUUACGACAGCAUCCGGCUGAGCGUGGAGCACGUGCCCUGCAUCGUCACCCUGUGCAAGAUCGGCUGCCGGCACGUGGUGGACGCCACGCUUCAGGAGGAGGCCUGCUCCUUGGCCAGCUUGCUGGUGGCCGUGACCAGCAAGGGGGUCGUGACGUGCGUGAGGAAAGUGGGGAAGGGCAGCCUGGACCCAGAGAGCGUCUUCGAGAUGAUGGAGACCAGCAAGCGGGUGGGCAAGGUGCUGCACGCCUCCCUGCAGAGCGUCCUGCACAAGGAAGAGAGCCUGGGGCCCAGGAGGCCGAAGGUCGGGUUCCUGGGCUGACGCGCACGCCGACCCCCGUCGCCGGAGUGCCGCGCUGACUUCUCCGCGUGAGCCGGAGUGUUGGGUGUCCCUCCAGGUGCCACGGCAGGGCUCCCGGCGAGACACCAGCCUGUCCCUCCCUGCCUGCCCCUGGCUGCCUGCGCGUGAUGGAACAUGA
RNA transcript from Phyllostomus hastatus (greater spear-nosed bat), 1093 nucleotides. It is a transcript of the gene named exosome component 7, with no coding region annotated. The transcript is spliced from 9 exons. NCBI's taxonomy places the organism in Eukaryota, Metazoa, Chordata, Mammalia, Chiroptera, Phyllostomidae. The record is from RefSeq and is a predicted model, not a curated record.